AUUGCGGAGAUACACGCCGUUGAUGCAAGAAGGGAUAGUGCCGGUGACAGGAAGGGCCUGCUUGACGGGCUGUUCAGGGACGGGAGCGAAGUUUCCGGAGAUUUGCACAUGUGGGUCUGCGGUUUUAGGAAGUGGGUGUUGAAUGUGGGUCUGCGGUUUUAGGAAGUGGGUGUUGAAGCUCAAGUGAGACCAAGGCGCUUUCAGCCAUGUCAAGUGCCAUGGCUGCAGCUCUUUGGAGGAGGUUCCACUGUGGGUGGCGGUGGGUUUUAGGUUGUACUUGUACAUUUACA
This 290-nucleotide long non-coding RNA is filed under the name Gossypium raimondii (Peruvian cotton). RNAcentral's name for it is "long non-coding RNA (GRAI_LNC006973)". Lineage: Eukaryota; Viridiplantae; Streptophyta; Magnoliopsida; Malvales; Malvaceae. The record is from RNAcentral.